Molecule: ribosomal RNA, 856 nt
Filed under: Companilactobacillus alimentarius
Lineage: Bacteria; Bacillati; Bacillota; Bacilli; Lactobacillales; Lactobacillaceae
Description: bacterial SSU rRNA
Rfam family: Bacterial small subunit ribosomal RNA
Source: RNAcentral
UGGGCGUAAGCGAGCGCAGGCGGUUUUUUAAGUCUGAUGUGAAAGCCUUCGGCUCAACCGAAGAAGUGCAUCGGAAACUGGGAAACUUGAGUGCAGAAGAGGACAGUGGAACUCCAUGUGUAGCGGUGAAAUGCGUAGAUAUAUGGAAGAACACCAGUGGCGAAGGCGGCUGUCUGGUCUGUAACUGACGCUGAGGCUCGAAAGUAUGGGUAGCAAACAGGAUUAGAUACCCUGGUAGUCCAUACCGUAAACGAUGAAUGCUAAGUGUUGGAGGGUUUCCGCCCUUCAGUGCUGCAGCUAACGCAUUAAGCAUUCCGCCUGGGGAGUACGGCCGCAAGGCUGAAACUCAAAGGAAUUGACGGGGGCCCGCACAAGCGGUGGAGCAUGUGGUUUAAUUCGAAGCUACGCGAAGAACCUUACCAGGUCUUGACAUACUAUGCAAAUCUAAGAGAUUAGACGUUCCCUUCGGGGACAUGGAUACAGGUGGUGCAUGGUUGUCGUCAGCUCGUGUCGUGAGAUGUUGGGUUAAGUCCCGCAACGAGCGCAACCCUUAUUAUCAGUUGCCAGCAUUAAGUUGGGCACUCUGGUGAGACUGCCGGUGACAAACCGGAGGAAGGUGGGGAUGACGUCAAAUCAUCAUGCCCCUUAUGACCUGGGCUACACACGUGCUACAAUGGAUGGUACAACGAGUUGCGAACUCGCGAGACUAAGCUAAUCUCUUAAAGCCAUUCUCAGUUCGGAUUGUAGGCUGCAACUCGCCUACAUGAAGUCGGAAUCGCUAGUAAUCGCGGAUCAGCAUGCCGCGGUGAAUACGUUCCCGGGCCUUGUACACACCGCCCGUCACACCAUGAGAGUU